Molecule: microRNA precursor, 58 nt
Filed under: Panagrellus redivivus
Lineage: Eukaryota; Metazoa; Nematoda; Chromadorea; Rhabditida; Panagrolaimidae
Description: microRNA prd-mir-7918f precursor
Rfam family: mir-7918 microRNA precursor family
Source: miRBase by way of RNAcentral
AUUGAGCUCUGAAAUCUUGUUGUGUGCUUCAAAUCCGGCAAGUUUCAGAGCUUUUUGA